UACAUUUUGGUGUAUAGUGCACAAAAACUUUUGAUGUUUAAAGAUAACAGUUCGAGUCUGUUAAAUGUAA
This 70-nucleotide transfer RNA is filed under the name Schizocephala bicornis. Its description in RNAcentral is "tRNA-Gln". It matches the Rfam family "tRNA". From Rfam's summary of the family: Transfer RNA (tRNA) molecules are approximately 80 nucleotides in length. Lineage: Eukaryota; Metazoa; Arthropoda; Insecta; Mantodea; Mantidae. The record is from RNAcentral.